RNAcentral lists this ribosomal RNA (643 nucleotides) under uncultured bacterium. RNAcentral's name for it is "bacterial SSU rRNA". It matches the Rfam family "Bacterial small subunit ribosomal RNA", at positions 232 to 885 of the family's 1533-position model. The record is from RNAcentral.
CGCGGCCUAUCAGCUUGUUGGUGGGGUAAUGGCCUACCAAGGCGACGACGGGUAGCCGGCCUGAGAGGGCGACCGGCCACACUGGGACUGAGACACGGCCCAGACUCCUACGGGAGGCAGCAGUGGGGAAUAUUGCACAAUGGGCGAAAGCCUGAUGCAGCGACGCCGCGUGAGGGAUGACGGCCUUCGGGUUGUAAACCUCUUUCACCAGGGACGAAGCUAACGUGACGGUACCUGGAGAAGAAGCACCGGCUAACUACGUGCCAGCAGCCGCGGUAAUACGUAGGGUGCGAGCGUUGUCCGGAAUUAUUGGGCGUAAAGAGCUUGUAGGCGGUUUGUCGCGUCUGCUGUGAAAGACCGGGGCUUAACUCCGGUUCUGCAGUGGGUACGGGCAGACUAGAGUAUGGUAGGGGAGACUGGAAUUCCUGGUGUAGCGGUGAAAUGCGCAGAUAUCAGGAGGAACACCGAUGGCGAAGGCAGGUCUCUGGGCCAUUACUGACGCUGAGAAGCGAAAGCAUGGGGAGCGAACAGGAUUAGAUACCCUGGUAGUCCAUGCCGUAAACGUUGGGCGCUAGGUGUGGGGCUCAUUCCACGAGUUCCGUGCCGCAGCUAACGUAUUAAGCGCCCCGCCUGGGGAGUACGG